UACGUAGGGACCAAGCGUUGUUCGGAUUUACUGGGCGUAAAGGGCGCGUAGGCGGCGUGUUAAGUCAGCUGUGAAAUCUCCAAGCUUAACUUGGAACGGUCAGCUGAUACUGAUGUGCUAGAGUGCAGAAGGGGCAAUCGGAAUUCUUGGUGUAGCGGUGAAAUGCGUAGAUAUCAAGAGGAACACCUGAGGUGAAGACGGGGUUGCUGGGCUGACACUGACGCUGAGGCGCGAAAGCUAGGGUAGCAAACGGGG
This 255-nucleotide ribosomal RNA is filed under the name uncultured bacterium. RNAcentral describes it as "partial 16S ribosomal RNA". It matches the Rfam family "Bacterial small subunit ribosomal RNA", at positions 524 to 777 of the family's 1533-position model. The record is from RNAcentral.